CAUUCUGGUCUCCCUAGAAGUCCUUCCGCUGCCGCCACCAGUACCUGCCGCCGCUCCCACUAGCGAUCCUUUACCGGACGCACUGCCGGCGCCACUGCCGGCGCCACCAGCGCCCCUUCCGGCACUGCCAGCGGCCCCUGCCGCCGCUACACCCAUUAUGCCGUCACCUGCAUCCUCUCAGGGUGGUCAUCAUAUGCAGACAUGCAGCAAAAAUAAUAUCUUUAUGCCCAACAAGAAGUUUGGUAUGUCUGUUGUCACCUCUCCUGCUGUUACUGAACCUCAG
This 283-nucleotide long non-coding RNA is filed under the name Nicotiana benthamiana. Its description in RNAcentral is "long non-coding RNA (NBEN_LNC026997)". Lineage: Eukaryota; Viridiplantae; Streptophyta; Magnoliopsida; Solanales; Solanaceae. The record is from RNAcentral.